Molecule: ribosomal RNA, 447 nt
Filed under: uncultured bacterium
Lineage: Bacteria
Description: bacterial SSU rRNA
Rfam family: Bacterial small subunit ribosomal RNA
Source: RNAcentral
UGGGGAAUAUUGGACAAUGGGCGCAAGCCUGAUCCAGCCAUGCCGCGUGAGUGACGAAGGUCUUCGGAUUGUAAAACUCUUUUGGCGGGGACGAUAAUGACGGUACCCGCAGAAUAAGCCCCGGCUAACUUCGUGCCAGCAGCCGCGGUAAUACGAAGGGGGCUAGCGUUGUUCGGAAUCACUGGGCGUAAAGCGCACGUAGGCGGAUGUGCCAGUCAGGGGUGAAAUCCCGGAGCUCAACUCCGGAACUGCCUCUGAUACUGCACGUCUUGAGUUCGAGAGAGGUGGGUGGAAUUCCUAGUGUAGAGGUGAAAUUCGUAGAUAUUCGGAAGAACACCAGUGGCGAAGGCGGCUCACUGGACGUGUAUUGACGCUGAGGUACGAAAGCGUGGGGAGCAAACAGGAUUAGAUACCCAAGUAGUCCCUGAGCGGGCUGGCAAGGCGCAU